RNAcentral lists this long non-coding RNA (1278 nucleotides) under Olea europaea subsp. europaea. The record is from RNAcentral. Lineage: Eukaryota; Viridiplantae; Streptophyta; Magnoliopsida; Lamiales; Oleaceae.
UCCCUCUCAAAGCCUGCGUCUCUUACUCUUCUUCUUCCAUAUCCUAUAUACUAAUCUCUUUCGUACAUAUCAAGCCCAUCAUCUCCAACACCAUCAUUGCAUAGAUCUCACACCUCAACAUACCUUUAACUUAUUGGGCUUUCUACACAUGGAAGGUAAGUAUUUUACACUUGUUUUGGUGUGUGGUGCUAAUUUAUGCAAUAUUACACUUGGUGAUUGGAUGAAGUAUGAAAUUUUUUAUACUUCUUUUGAUAGAUUUUGGUGGUUUGAUACUUUGAGAUGUUGAAUUUAUGUUUGGGAUUAAGUUUGGGGAAAUUUUAGAUUUGCAUUGUGAAAGGAGUGCGAGGUGUUUAUUGAAAAACUUUACAUCCUUUAGUGACUUAAUUGAUAAUUUUGCCUACUUAUUUGAGGAAUUUGCAAUACAUUAUUGUGGGAUUGAGUAGUUAGUAGUGACUUGAUUUGUUGAGGGAAUUGGUGUUUGGAACAUUCAUUAUAUUAUGUGAAGUUUGUAGUGGUUUUUAGGACAUUAUUGGGUUUGCUUAUGGUGGAUAUACUUGAUUGACAUUGUCGCUUUUCGGAGUGCACAAUGCCAUAUACAAAGAAAUCGAAAUCUUCGACCUCUUCUAAAGCUCCUUUGAUAGCAGUAAAUUUGUGGGUGAGAAGCAAAGAAUCGAUAUAAUGACAUUGUAGUUCACAAAAAUUAUAUUCCAGAACGAAGUUUUGACAACCUUGAGCUUUAUAUAAUGGAACAGAUUAAGGGUAGGCAUUGGAAGUUUUUUACAGAGCAACCAUAGUCAGGGUUAGUACCAAUGGUGCAUGAAUUUUUCGCAAAUGUUAAGGACCGCAAGGAUUUAAAGGUUUAUGUUAGAGGAAAGUGGAUCUGUUUUGACAAACCUUCGAUCAAUGAAUUCCGUGGAUUGCUAGAUAUUGAUAAAGAUGAGUUCUUCAGAAUGCGUGAAGAGGGGCAAUCUUUCCGACAGACAUAAAUCGAGAGUUAGCCUCAUCCGGGCAUCACAUGGAAACGAUUCAGCACCGAUGCCACCAAUUUUCUGGCCGUGGGCAUGUUUCUAGAAUGCAAAGCAUGGCAUUAUUUUAUAUGUGCUAAACUUUUGCCGGCAACAAUAUUCAUUUUUGGUUUUAUGAGUUUUGGUGUAAUAUUUUUUGCUUAUUUUAUUCACCAGGACUCAAUAAUUAUUUUUACAAUAGAGUCAAUUUAGUUAAACAUUGAAUCAGGUUUCUUAUUGAAUAAUUCUAUGUAGCACUAUAGGAUAUAUGAGG